RNAcentral lists this ribosomal RNA (429 nucleotides) under uncultured archaeon. RNAcentral's name for it is "bacterial SSU rRNA". It matches the Rfam family "Archaeal small subunit ribosomal RNA", at positions 474 to 903 of the family's 1478-position model. The record is from RNAcentral.
UACCUGCAGCUCUAGUGGUGACCGCUAUUAUUGGGCCUAAAACGUCCGUAGCCGGCUUAUUAAAUGCCUGGGUAAAUCGUACAGCUUAACCGUACGAAUUCCGGGUAGACUGAUAGGCUUGGGACCGGGAGAAGCUAGAGGUACUCCUGGGGUAGAGGUGAAAUUCUGUAAUCCUAGGGGGACCACCAGUGGCGAAGGCGUCUAGCUAGAACGGGUUUGACGGUGAGGGACGAAGCCCUGGGGAGCAAACGGGAUUAGAUACCCCGGUAGUCCAGGGUGUAAACGCUGCUUGCUUGAUGUUAGUCGGGCUCCGAGCCCGAUUAGUGUCGGAGAGAAGUUGUUAAGCAAGCUGCCUGGGAAGUACGGCCGCAAGACUGAAACUUAAAGGAAUUGGCGGGGGAGCACAGCAACGGGUGGAGCGUGCGGUUU